AUGACCACACUAAAAGAAGUUCCUAUUCCCUCCAUUUGGAGAAAGCAAUCGGCGGAGGCCGUGGAGGUGGUGGAUGUUGAGGAGGAAGAGGAGGAGGAGGCCGGACCCUCCCAGCCUAUUGAGCCACCCACACCAGAUGUGGGAGAA
Bufo bufo (common toad) is the source of this 147-nucleotide long non-coding RNA. RefSeq lists it as uncharacterized. The transcript is spliced from 3 exons. NCBI's taxonomy places the organism in Eukaryota, Metazoa, Chordata, Amphibia, Anura, Bufonidae. The record is from RefSeq and is a predicted model, not a curated record.